GGAGAGAUGGCUGAGUGGUCGAAAGCGCCAGAUUGCUAAUUUGGUGAACGGUUAACGCUGUUCCGCGGGUUCAAAUCCCGCUCUCUCCG
Molecule: transfer RNA, 89 nt
Filed under: Planctomycetaceae bacterium
Lineage: Bacteria; Pseudomonadati; Planctomycetota; Planctomycetia; Planctomycetales; Planctomycetaceae
Also listed under: 2 other names
Description: tRNA-Ser
Rfam family: tRNA
About the family: Transfer RNA (tRNA) molecules are approximately 80 nucleotides in length. Their secondary structure includes four short double-helical elements and three loops (D, anti-codon, and T loops). Further hydrogen bonds mediate the characteristic L-shaped molecular structure. tRNAs have two regions of fundamental functional importance: the anti-codon, which is responsible for specific mRNA codon recognition, and the 3' end, to which the tRNAs corresponding amino acid is attached (by aminoacyl-tRNA synthetases). tRNAs cope with the degeneracy of the genetic code in two manners: having more than one tRNA (with a specific anti-codon) for a particular amino acid; and 'wobble' base-pairing, i.e. permitting non-standard base-pairing at the 3rd anti-codon position.
Source: RNAcentral